CAGCCGCCACGGGAAUACAGAGGGUGCGAGCGUUAAUCGGAUUUACUGGGCGUAAAGCGUGCGUAGGCGGCUUUUUAAGUCGGAUGUGAAAUCCCUGAGCUUAACUUAGGAAUUGCAUUCGAUACUGGGAAGCUAGAGUAUGGGAGAGGAUGGUAGAAUUCCAGGUGUAGCGGUGAAAUGCGUAGAGAUCUGGAGGAAUACCGAUGGCGAAGGCAGCCAUCUGGCCUAAUACUGACGCUGAGGUACGAAAGCAUGGGGAGCAAACAGGAUUAGAGACCCGUGUAGUCCCUGUCUCUUAUAC
Molecule: ribosomal RNA, 301 nt
Filed under: uncultured bacterium
Lineage: Bacteria
Description: partial 16S ribosomal RNA
Rfam family: Bacterial small subunit ribosomal RNA
Source: RNAcentral